UCCGGCUUACCACCGGCGGUCCCUUUAGAGUUCCCAACUUAAUGGUGGCAACUAAAGGCGAGGGUUGCGCUCGUUGCGGGACUUAACCCAACACCUCACGGCACGAGCUGACGACAGCCAUGCACCACCUGUGAAGGUGCCCCGAAGGGAGACCGUGUUUCCACGGCUGUCACCCACAUGUCAAGCCCAGGUAAGGUUCUUCGCGUUGCGUCGAGUUGAACCACAUGCUCCGCUGCUUGUGCGGGUCCCCGUCAAUUCCUUUGAGUUUUAGCCUUGCGGCCGUACUCCCCAGGCGGGCCACUUACUGCGUUGGCGGCGGCACGGAGGGGGUCGAUACCCCCCGCACCUAGUGGCCACCGUUUAGGGCGUGGACUAC
This 376-nucleotide unclassified non-coding RNA is filed under the name uncultured bacterium. Its description in RNAcentral is "contains 16S-23S intergenic spacer region". The record is from RNAcentral.